GUCAAAUACAAACCGUGCCAUACCUGACAUCAGGUGUCACUGUGUGUUUUCAGAGAUGUGCAAGCAGGAAAAGAACAAACCAAUGGCCAGAUUUCAGUGUGGACGGUCCUGCUCAUGUUACGCAUGCAAUAUAUAUAUAUAUAUAUGUACACACACUGCUCAAAAAAAUAAAGGGAACACUUAAACAACACAAUGUAACUCCA
This is a non-coding RNA of Pelobates cultripes (western spadefoot toad), 203 nucleotides long. Lineage: Eukaryota; Metazoa; Chordata; Amphibia; Anura; Pelobatidae. The record is from the annotation of a GenBank genome assembly.